GUAGGUGGCAAGCGUUGUUCGGAAUUAUUGGGCGUAAAGCGCGCGCAGGCGGUUCUUUAAGUCUGAUGUGAAAGCCCACGGGCUCAACCGUGGAGGGUCAUUGGAAACUGGAGAACUUGAGUACAGAAGAGGAAAGCGGAAUUCCACGUGUAGCGGUGAAAUGCGUAGAGAUGUGGAGGAACACCAGUGGCGAAGGCGGCUUUCUGGUCUGUAACUGACGCUGAGGCGCGAAAGCGUGGGGAGCAAACAGGAUUAGAUACCCUGGUAGCCCACGCCGUAAACGAUGAGUGCUAAGUGUUAGGGGGUUUCCGCCCCUUAGUGCUGCAGCUAACGCAUUAAGCACUCCGCCUGGGGAGUACGGCCGCAAGGCUG
This 372-nucleotide ribosomal RNA is filed under the name uncultured organism. RNAcentral's name for it is "partial 16S ribosomal RNA". It matches the Rfam family "Bacterial small subunit ribosomal RNA", at positions 527 to 896 of the family's 1533-position model. The record is from RNAcentral.